AGGGUGGUGGACAGGGGCCACAAAUUUGAAGGGAAAAAUGUUGAAAGUCCUUCAGAUUUCUGCAAUUCAUGAAUUCCUGAAUCAUACAUAGAAGGUUCAAGUUAAAAGUGUGCUGCCAAAUCCAGCGAAGAUUUAGGUUGGAACUGCAAGGUCGGUCCGAGCUCCUUGCUGGUCUCCUAUCUGAAGAAGAUGAGCUAGUCGGUGGUAAUUGUUUUCAGACAAGGACACCAACGUUUAUUCUUCGAUCUGAAACAAGAAAGAAAAAUUUACUUGUUAGAGUUUGUUCGACGAAGGAGACAGCAGAGACUUGAAAAAGAGAUAGCAACAUGAGUGUGGAGAAUGCCAAGAGAGCAUCAAAAUCGUACCUGGAGGUCCCUCGCAUGCUGCUUGUAAAGGCAAGGGCUGGUAUCUGUUAUCGAGUAAGAUGGUCAUGCAUCUUAAUUGCUUGGGAUAAGCUGCAACGGUCGGCCAUUGGGAAGAAUUUAAAUGGCAUCAUGGCGAUUUUUAAUCAGGGUCAUGUGGCGAAC
This 527-nucleotide long non-coding RNA is filed under the name Phoenix dactylifera (date palm). RNAcentral describes it as "long non-coding RNA (PDAC_LNC004918)". The record is from RNAcentral. Lineage: Eukaryota; Viridiplantae; Streptophyta; Magnoliopsida; Arecales; Arecaceae.